CUCAUUGUAGAGCAUCACUAUGAUUGCUCAAGCCCUCAUCGUACUUGUUAUCUCAUCUCUCUGGCUCCAAGGUCAUUCCCAGGAUGUGACUCAACAACCUGAAAUCAGAUGGAGUUAUGUUAACAAAGCUGCAGAGAUGAACUGCAGCCACAACAAAGAUAAGGGCCACAGCCAGAUGUACUGGUAUAUUCAAAGACCAGGAGAGACCAUGAGGCUCAUCGUCUACACAGUGUUUGGUGGGAAGCCGGACUAUGGUGGAGCCCCUGAGAAUAAAUAUUCAGCCAGCAAAGCAGCCAUUGAGAACGGGGCUCUAACUGUGAAUGACUUGCAGCAGAAUGACACUGGUGUGUAUUUUUGUGCUGUGGUGCUGGAGCUCAAGAAAUACUGA
Non-coding RNA from Oreochromis aureus, 388 nucleotides. Lineage: Eukaryota; Metazoa; Chordata; Actinopteri; Cichliformes; Cichlidae. The record is from the annotation of a RefSeq genome assembly.